Molecule: ribosomal RNA, 254 nt
Filed under: uncultured bacterium
Lineage: Bacteria
Description: partial 16S ribosomal RNA
Rfam family: Bacterial small subunit ribosomal RNA
Source: RNAcentral
UACGUAGGGUGCGAGCGUUGUCCGGAAUUAUUGGGCGUAAAGAGCUCGUAGGCGGUGUGUCACGUCGGCCGUGAAAACCUGCAGCUUAACUGUGGGCGUGCGGUCGAUACGGGCAUCACUGGAGUUCGGCAGGGGAGACUGGAAUUCCUGGUGUAGCGGUGAAAUGCGCAGAUAUCAGGAGGAACACCGGUGGCGAAGGCGGGUCUCUGGGCCUUACCUGACGCUGAGGAGCGAAAGCGUGGGUAGCGAACAGG